AUUCUGGACAUUAUCUGAUGAGUUAGAAGCUAUAAUAGCAAAAUGAUUUCUAUCUCCUAAAAGUAAAGAAUCCCUAAAAAGAAAUUCCUGGAGCCAG
Melanotaenia boesemani (Boeseman's rainbowfish) is the source of this 97-nucleotide long non-coding RNA. RefSeq lists it as uncharacterized. The record is from RefSeq and is a predicted model, not a curated record. Lineage: Eukaryota; Metazoa; Chordata; Actinopteri; Atheriniformes; Melanotaeniidae. The transcript has 3 exons.